Molecule: ribosomal RNA, 304 nt
Filed under: uncultured bacterium
Lineage: Bacteria
Description: partial 16S ribosomal RNA
Rfam family: Bacterial small subunit ribosomal RNA
Source: RNAcentral
CAGCAGUCGCCGCGGGAAUACGUAGGGUGCAAGCGUUAAUCGGAAUUACUGGGCGUAAAGCGUGCGCAGGCGGUUAUAUAAGACAGAUGUGAAAUCCCCGGGCUCAACCUGGGAACUGCAUUUGUGACUGUAUAGCUAGAGUACGGCAGAGGGGGAUGGAAUUCCGCGUGUAGCAGUGAAAUGCGUAGAUAUGCGGAGGAACACCGAUGGCGAAGGCAAUCCCCUGGGCCUGUACUGACGCUCAUGCACGAAAGCGUGGGGAGCAAACAGGAUUAGAUACCCCAGUAGUCCCUGUCUCUUAUAC